RNAcentral lists this non-coding RNA (228 nucleotides) under Ruminococcus sp. Its description in RNAcentral is "T-box sequence". It matches the Rfam family "T-box leader". Rfam says of the family: Uncharged tRNA acts as the effector for transcription antitermination of genes in the T-box leader family. T-boxes are found upstream of many aminoacyl-tRNA synthetase genes and some amino acid biosynthetic genes usually in Gram-positive bacteria. The anticodon of a specific tRNA base pairs to a specifier sequence within the T-box motif, and the NCCA acceptor tail of the tRNA base pairs to a conserved bulge in the T-box antiterminator hairpin. Lineage: Bacteria; Bacillati; Bacillota; Clostridia; Eubacteriales; Oscillospiraceae. The record is from RNAcentral.
AAAAUCGUGUGGAAGAGGAAGAGUAUCCGGAUUCGUGCCGGCGCAGAGAGGCUCCGGCUGGUGAGAGGAGCAGCGGUACCCCGGAGAAUACCCCUCGGAGCGGAUUCCCUGAACGGACUGGACAGUAGGGGAAUACGGGUGCGCCCGUUACAGCGUCAACGAGGCCGGGUGCAGUGCGUUUGCAGUCCGGCAAACUGAGGUGGUACCACGUUUCACAGCGUCCUCAGG